UUAAAUUGAAGAGUUUGAUCAUGGCUCAGAUUGAACGCUGGCGGCAGGCCUAACACAUGCAAGUCGAACGGUAACAGGAAGCAGCUUGCUGCUUUGCUGACGAGUGGCGGACGGGUGAGUAAUGUCUGGGAAACUGCCUGAUGGAGGGGGAUAACUACUGGAAACGGUGGCUAAUACCGCAUAACGUCGCAAGACCAAAGAGGGGGACCUUCGGGCCUCUUGCCAUCAGAUGUGCCCAGAUGGGAUUAGCUUGUUGGUGAGGUAACGGCUCACCAAGGCGACGAUCCCUAGCUGGUCUGAGAGGAUGACCAGCCACACUGGAACUGAGACACGGUCCAGACUCCUACGGGAGGCAGCAGUGGGGAAUAUUGCACAAUGGGCGCAAGCCUGAUGCAGCCAUGCCGCGUGUAUGAAGAAGGCCUUCGGGUUGUAAAGUACUUUCAGCGGGGAGGAAGGUGUUGUGGUUAAUAACCGCAGCAAUUGACGUUACCCGCAGAAGAAGCACCGGCUAACUCCGUGCCAGCAGCCGCGGUAAUACGGAGGGUGCAAGCGUUAAUCGGAAUUACUGGGCGUAAAGCGCACGCAGGCGGUCUGUCAAGUCGGAUGUGAAAUCCCCGGGCUCAACCUGGGAACUGCAUUCGAAACUGGCAGGCUUGAGUCUUGUAGAGGGGGGUAGAAUUCCAGGUGUAGCGGUGAAAUGCGUAGAGAUCUGGAGGAAUACCGGUGGCGAAGGCGGCCCCCUGGACAAAGACUGACGCUCAGGUGCGAAAGCGUGGGGAGCAAACAGGAUUAGAUACCCUGGUAGUCCACGCCGUAAACGAUGUCUACUUGGAGGUUGUGCCCUUGAGGCGUGGCUUCCGGAGCUAACGCGUUAAGUAGACCGCCUGGGGAGUACGGCCGCAAGGUUAAAACUCAAAUGAAUUGACGGGGGCCCGCACAAGCGGUGGAGUAUGUGGUUUAAUUCGAUGCAACGCGAAGAACCUUACCUGGUCUUGACAUCCACAGAAGAAUCCAGAGAUGGAUUUGUGCCUUCGGGAACUGUGAGACAGGUGCUGCAUGGCUGUCGUCAGCUCGUGUUGUGAAAUGUUGGGUUAAGUCCCGCAACGAGCGCAACCCUUAUCCUUUGUUGCCAGCGAUUAGGUCGGGAACUCAAAGGAGACUGCCAGUGAUAAACUGGAGGAAGGUGGGGAUGACGUCAAGUCAUCAUGGCCCUUACGACCAGGGCUACACACGUGCUACAAUGGCGCAUACAAAGAGAAGCGACCUCGCGAGAGCAAGCGGACCUCAUAAAGUGCGUCGUAGUCCGGAUUGGAGUCUGCAACUCGACUCCAUGAAGUCGGAAUCGCUAGUAAUCGUGGAUCAGAAUGCCACGGUGAAUACGUUCCCGGGCCUUGUACACACCGCCCGUCACACCAUGGGAGUGGGUUGCAAAAGAAGUAGGUAGCUUAACCUUCGGGAGGGCGCUUACCACUUUGUGAUUCAUGACUGGGGUGAAGUCGUAACAAGGUAACCGUAGGGGAACCUGCGGUUGGAUCACCUCCUUACCUGAAAGAAGC
This 1556-nucleotide ribosomal RNA is filed under the name Salmonella enterica subsp. enterica serovar Pullorum. Its description in RNAcentral is "bacterial SSU rRNA". It matches the Rfam family "Bacterial small subunit ribosomal RNA". RNAcentral also lists the same sequence under 1 other name. Lineage: Bacteria; Pseudomonadati; Pseudomonadota; Gammaproteobacteria; Enterobacterales; Enterobacteriaceae. The record is from RNAcentral.